CUGAUGCUUACCCUGAUUCAUUCUUCUUUUGUGAGGAAAAUUGGGAGCAUCGAAACAUGAGCGAUGCUGUUGAAUCUAUGAUGCGGAUCCUGCUUCCUGCGUUCUUUUUGCUGCCCAUACCCGAUUGAUUGUGCUUCGUGAGCUGCUCCAUUUUGCAACAGCUGCUGAAAUCUUCCCUCUAGCAGGCUUCCCUUCCUUGCUGUCUUCAAGGAGGAAUUGGAUUAUUGCUGCCCUCUCAAAUGUGGAGAGAUCUUUUCUCCUAGCCAUAGUGUAGUUUUUGUGGUUUUUUUGGUUUUGAGUUGUUGUAGCAGCUGCUUAGUUUAGUCUUUGUAAACUGAAUUGGUCUCUAUUUAUAGAGGGGAGAAACCUUGUAAAGUGUGGGAAAUUUAAAAUUCUCAAAUUUUCAAUGAAAAGGCAAAUUGGAAUUGGUUUC
This is a long non-coding RNA of Salvia miltiorrhiza (redroot sage), 433 nucleotides long. RefSeq lists it as uncharacterized. The record is from RefSeq and is a predicted model, not a curated record. The transcript is spliced from 2 exons. NCBI's taxonomy places the organism in Eukaryota, Viridiplantae, Streptophyta, Magnoliopsida, Lamiales, Lamiaceae.